ACAGCGGGGAAAGAAGACCCUGUUGAGCUUGACUCUAUCCUGGGGUUGUUGGGCGACUUAGGAGGUGUAGCAUAGGUGGGAGCCUCCGGGCGUCUCUGAAAUACCACCACUCCCAAGAUCGUCCUGCUGAUCUUGUUAUCGUAAGCGCGCUUGGGCUCACUCCCGUGGCGUGGUCCAUGCGUGGCAGGUAUGCUCGAGUGAGCGUGAGGUCCACGUGACCCUUGCUUACUUGAUUUCUUACGCACAAGAGACACCCCCAGGUGGGGAGUUCGGCUGGGGCGGUACACCCGUCAAAAGACAACGCGGGUGUCCUAUGGUCAGCUCAACGAGGACAGAACUCUCGUGUGGUGUAGUUAAGGGUAGAAGCUGACUUGAUUCGGGCUCUCAGUAGGAGCUUGAGCUGCGAAAGCAUGGCCUACCGAUCCUUUAGCCUUCUGGGUGUGAAGCUAGAGGUGUCAGAAAAGUUACCACAGGGAUA
This 478-nucleotide ribosomal RNA is filed under the name Bigelowiella longifila. Its description in RNAcentral is "partial Eukaryotic large subunit ribosomal RNA". It matches the Rfam family "Eukaryotic large subunit ribosomal RNA", at positions 2395 to 2828 of the family's 3401-position model. Lineage: Eukaryota; Cercozoa; Chlorarachniophyceae. The record is from RNAcentral.